This 497-nucleotide ribosomal RNA is filed under the name uncultured bacterium. Its description in RNAcentral is "partial 16S ribosomal RNA". It matches the Rfam family "Bacterial small subunit ribosomal RNA", at positions 28 to 507 of the family's 1533-position model. The record is from RNAcentral.
GAUGAACGCUGGCGGCGUGCCUAAUACAUGCAAGUCGAGCGAACAGACUAGGAACUUGCUGCUCUGCGGUUAGCUGCGGACGGAUGAUUAACACUUUGAUAGCCUACCUCUAUUACUGAGGUAACUUCGUAACACCGGAGCUAAUAGCGGAUAAUAUAUUGAACCACAUGGUUCCAUGGGUAAAGACGGUUUUUCUGUCGCUUAUAGAUCGAUCCGCGCUGCAUUAGCUAGUUGGUAAGGUAACGUGUUACCAAGGACACGAUGCGUAGCCGACCUGAGAGAGUGACCGGACACACUGGAACUGAGACACGGUCCAGACUCCGACGGGAGGAAGCAGCAGGGAAUUUCCCGAAAUAGGAGUAAGGAUGACGGAGCAACGCGGGGUAGGCGAUGAGGGCAUGCGGAUCGGAAAAAUCUGGUACUAGGGAAGAAAAACCGUGUAAGUAACGGAGCAAGUAUUGACGGUACCUAACCAGAAAGCCACGGCUAACUACGUG